Oreochromis aureus is the source of this 483-nucleotide long non-coding RNA. NCBI's taxonomy places the organism in Eukaryota, Metazoa, Chordata, Actinopteri, Cichliformes, Cichlidae. The record is from Ensembl.
UGAUGGAUUUUUACAAUUUUGCCUCUUUCUUGUAAGAUUCUAUAACAGAAAGAAACAAUAAUGCCAGUUAUAAAUAAAGAGCCGUUGUAGAUUUAAAGGCUCCCAAUCAGGCCCGUAUCAGAAUACAGGAGCAGCACAAUGUACACAAAAUCAUCAUCAUGACCAACUUUGAUCUACACUGGACUACAUGAGCUGCUGCUACAUAAACUAAAGUUUUUACCCCUCAGUCGGCUGAUGUCAUCAUCCCAGUGGGCGUGCGGGCGGUGUGGACAUCCAACUUUACGAAGGUCUCUGUGAUGUCAUUGAGAGUGGACGCUUUUGUAUGAUGAUCCCAGCCACUGUGAGCUCAGAAACCCCGCCCACCUGCACUUCAAACUUUCUAUUUGUGAGGGCAGCUAAUCAGAAUAGUUUGUUUUAGAUCAAGGAUGAAGUGACAGGUUGAGUCACGGCCAACACAAGUACAUAAGAAAUGUUUUGUAAGCC